GCAACUUUUGGAAGGUAACAAAAGAAAAACAAAAUCUUCUUCUCUAUUCCCAUACUCUGCCACGCGAAAAUCAUGAUAACAUCCACAUGGCUCAACAUUUUUCUUCUUCCAUUUCUACCAUUUUAGAAGUUUUGUAUGCAUAGUUCCUCACUUAUAUUCAUCUUAUUCAAUUAGAAGAAGACUCAAAUUUCAGUGAAAUAAUAAAGACACGAAGCUAGGGUUUAGGAAGGUUUUGGGGAAAUUGAAGAAUCUCAAAAUUCUCACUAAUUCCAUCAAUUUCUUGUUUGGUGAUCAAAUUACCGGUGAGUUUCCUAAAUUAGGUUAUGAAUCUUUUAGAAGUAGUCAAAUUAGAAUUUAAGAUUUAAUGUAAUUUAGAAAUAGAAAUCUCAUUGUGAUUUUCAUAAGCAGUAGUUCAACUCUUAAAAAAAUCAAUGAUUACAAGAUUUGAGUUAAGCCUUUUACGGUAGAGAAUUUAUUGAGUGGAUACUAUUGUGUAGAUUUUUUAUAUGAGAGUAACAUGUUGAUUUUAAAUUGUUUUGAUCCCUCAACACUUAUUUUGUUAGUUUUCUUCCUUGAGCGUAUAAUUUAGUGGACAAUUUGGUGUUUGUGAAAUAUUUGUGGUGAAAACAUAAAAAUAAAGAUAUGGACUGUGAUUUGAAAUUUAAAUUGAAGCCGUUUGCUGCAACGAAGAGAGAAUGCAGCCUAUGAACAAUUGUUCAUAGUAUAUUUUUAAGUAGAUAUCCGUUCGCCACUACGAAGAGAUAAGGUGGUAUCCGUUCGCCACUACGAAGAGAUAAUGUGGUAUCCGUUUGCCACAACGAAGAGAUAAUGUGGUAUCCGUUCGCCACUACGAAGAGAUAAGGUGGUAUCCGUUCGCCACUACGAAG
This 887-nucleotide long non-coding RNA is filed under the name Trifolium pratense (red clover). RNAcentral describes it as "long non-coding RNA (TPRA_LNC005884)". Lineage: Eukaryota; Viridiplantae; Streptophyta; Magnoliopsida; Fabales; Fabaceae. The record is from RNAcentral.